AACGAACGCUGGCGGCAUGCCUAACACAUGCAAGUCGAACGAGACCUUCGGGUCUAGUGGCGCACGGGUGCGUAACGCGUGGGAACCUGCCCUUAGGUUCGGAAUAACUCCCCGAAAGGGGUGCUAAUACCGGAUAAUGUCUUCGGACCAAAGAUUUAUCGCCUUUGGAUGGGCCCGCGUUGGAUUAGCUAGUUGGUAGGGUAAAAGCCUACCAAGGCGACGAUCCAUAGCUGGUCUGAGAGGAUGAUCAGCCACACUGGGACUGAGACACGGCCCAGACUCCUACGGGAGGCAGCAGUGGGGAAUAUUGGACAAUGGGCGAAAGCCUGAUCCAGCAAUGCCGCGUGAGUGAUGAAGGCCUUAGGAUUGUAAAGCUCUUUUACCCGGGAUGAUAAUGACAGGACCGGGAGAAUAAGCUCCGGCUAACUCCGU
Molecule: ribosomal RNA, 432 nt
Filed under: uncultured bacterium
Lineage: Bacteria
Description: partial 16S ribosomal RNA
Rfam family: Bacterial small subunit ribosomal RNA
Source: RNAcentral